CUUUAUUUCGGUGCUUUUUUUUUUUCUUGAGAUGUCAUACACUUUGGAUUCUAGCCAAUCAUUUUACCUUUCCAAGGAGAGUAGGCGGGCCCAGGUACGUACGUUCUUUUAGAGCAGAGCUACAGAUUAAAAAUGCCCAAGGCGAAGCGGUCAAAGUCUGGCUGUACUUCACAGCAAAAGAUGCAAACUCAGCAGCCUGCAACAAGUGCUUUAAGGUGAUACUGUGCAAAGGAGGUAACUCCUCGAAUCUGAUGAAACACCUGGCGACGCAUAGCGUUUUUUUAAAAGCCGAGAAAUGCGCCGUGUUUGAUAGCUUGCUGCGAGACCUCACACCGUGCACAUCUACUGCGGGUGUGGUGCCUGUUAUCGGACCUGGAGUUAGCAACAUCCCCCAAGAACCCGAAGAGUAGAGUCCUGGAUCCUAGCCCUGUCAGUGUAACAGAAAUGAUGACGGAUGAUGAUGGCAGCAGCAGCCGUUCUUCUCUGGGAUAAGGACCCUCUUGAAUGCCCUGUUUCUCUUCUGAACACAGAUGUCAAAAUCCUUGCAAAGGUGUUGGCGCGUCAUCUAGAAAGGGUGGCUCUGAAAAUGAUCUCUCCUGACCAAACAGGUGACACUCCUGUCUCCUUUGGUGCCAGUGCACAGCUGGCUCCACUCAGCAAAAAGGAAAAGCUGGGGAGAAGUGCUGCCCAGCCCCAGAUUUACUGUCAACUUUCCUUUGGUGAUGGCUUUGAUGAACCUAAUAGCUUAGCUGUUUCUGAAUACCCUGCUUUAUAACCUUUUUG
This is a long non-coding RNA of Oreochromis aureus, 783 nucleotides long. Lineage: Eukaryota; Metazoa; Chordata; Actinopteri; Cichliformes; Cichlidae. The record is from Ensembl.